Molecule: transfer RNA, 85 nt
Filed under: Methylophaga sp.
Lineage: Bacteria; Pseudomonadati; Pseudomonadota; Gammaproteobacteria; Thiotrichales; Piscirickettsiaceae
Also listed under: 1 other name
Description: tRNA-Leu
Rfam family: tRNA
About the family: Transfer RNA (tRNA) molecules are approximately 80 nucleotides in length. Their secondary structure includes four short double-helical elements and three loops (D, anti-codon, and T loops).
Source: RNAcentral
GCCGACGUGGUGAAAUUGGUAGACACGCUAUCUUGAGGGGGUAGUUCCUUAGGGUGUGCCGGUUCGAGUCCGGCCGUCGGCACCA